RNAcentral lists this transfer RNA (82 nucleotides) under Pseudomonadota bacterium. RNAcentral describes it as "tRNA-Tyr". It matches the Rfam family "tRNA". From Rfam's summary of the family: Transfer RNA (tRNA) molecules are approximately 80 nucleotides in length. Their secondary structure includes four short double-helical elements and three loops (D, anti-codon, and T loops). Further hydrogen bonds mediate the characteristic L-shaped molecular structure. tRNAs have two regions of fundamental functional importance: the anti-codon, which is responsible for specific mRNA codon recognition, and the 3' end, to which the tRNAs corresponding amino acid is attached (by aminoacyl-tRNA synthetases). tRNAs cope with the degeneracy of the genetic code in two manners: having more than one tRNA (with a specific anti-codon) for a particular amino acid; and 'wobble' base-pairing, i.e. permitting non-standard base-pairing at the 3rd anti-codon position. RNAcentral also lists the same sequence under 4 other names. Lineage: Bacteria; Pseudomonadati; Pseudomonadota. The record is from RNAcentral.
GGGCAGGUACCCAAGCGGCCAAAGGGGACUGACUGUAAAUCAGUUGGCUCAGCCUUCGGUGGUUCGAAUCCGCCCCUGCCCA